Molecule: long non-coding RNA, 188 nt
Organism: Centropristis striata (black sea bass)
Lineage: Eukaryota; Metazoa; Chordata; Actinopteri; Perciformes; Serranidae
Exons: 2
Source: RefSeq, a predicted model, not a curated record
ACAAUGCAAGUUAAUGACAGUCAUAUCCCGUGGCUAUUGGUUUGUUCCAAGUCACGUGACUUUCAAGGUUCCGGCGGUCAGAACAAAAAACAUGGCGGACAGUUCUCUCAUUUUUAGUGAAAAAAAAAUCAAUAUUUUGACUUAGUUUCUGCAUAAAAAUGGAUUUUGAUCACAUUUCUAGCGAGAAA